RNAcentral lists this non-coding RNA (29 nucleotides) under Mus musculus (house mouse). The record is from RNAcentral. Lineage: Eukaryota; Metazoa; Chordata; Mammalia; Rodentia; Muridae.
UAAUUUUUAUUUUAUAUGUGUGCGUGUGU